UUUGAUCCUGGCUCAGAACGAACGCUGGCGGCGCGCCUAAUACAUGCAAGUCGAACGAGAAUGUGUAGCAAUACACAUGUAAAGUGGCGAACGGGUGAGGAUUACAUGGGUAACCUACCCUCGAGUGGGGAAUAACCAGCCGAAAGGUUGGCUAAUACCGCGUACGCUUCCCGGACUGCGGUUCGGGAAGGAAAGCGAUACCGUGGGUAUCGCGCUCUUGGAUGGGCUCAUGCCCUAUCAGCUUGUUGGUGAGGUAACGGCUCACCAAGGCUUCGACGGGUAGCUGAUCUGAGAGGAUGAUCAGCCACACUGGCACUGCGACACGGGCCAGACUCCUACGGGAGGCAGCAGUAAGGAAUAUUGCGCAAUGGGCGAAAGCCUGACGCAACGACGCCGCGUGGGGGAUGAAGUCCCUUGGGAUGUAAACUCCUUUCGAUCGGGACGAUAAUGACGGUACCGGAAGAAGAAG
Molecule: ribosomal RNA, 469 nt
Filed under: uncultured soil bacterium
Lineage: Bacteria
Description: bacterial SSU rRNA
Rfam family: Bacterial small subunit ribosomal RNA
Source: RNAcentral